UACAGAGGGGGCAAGCGUUAUUCGGAAUUAUUGGGCGUAAAGGGCGCGUAGGCGGCUUGGCAAGUGGAAGGUGAAAUCCCUCGGCUUAACCGAGGAACUGCCCUCCAAACUGCUUGGCUUGAGACCGGGAGAGGUGAGUGGAAUUCCCAGUGUAGCGGUGAAAUGCGCAGAUAUCAGGAAGAACACCCGUGGCUAAGGCGGCUCUCUAGUACGGUACUGACGCUGAGACGCGAAAGCGUGGGGAGCGAACAGG
RNAcentral lists this ribosomal RNA (253 nucleotides) under uncultured bacterium. Its description in RNAcentral is "partial 16S ribosomal RNA". It matches the Rfam family "Bacterial small subunit ribosomal RNA", at positions 524 to 776 of the family's 1533-position model. The record is from RNAcentral.